AUGAGCAGCGAACGGGUGAGUAACGCGUGGGGAAUCUGCCUCUUAGCAGGGGAUAACAUUUGGAAACAGAUGCUAAUACCGUAUAACAAUGACAACCGCAUGGUUGCUACUUAAAAGAUGGUUCUGCUAUCACUAAGAGAUGGUCCCGCGGUGCAUUAGUUAGUUGGUGAGGUAAUGGCUCACCAAGACGAUGAUGCAUAGCCGAGUUGAGAGACUGAUCGGCCACAAUGGGACUGAGACACGGCCCAGACUCC
Molecule: ribosomal RNA, 254 nt
Filed under: uncultured Weissella sp.
Lineage: Bacteria; Bacillati; Bacillota; Bacilli; Lactobacillales; Lactobacillaceae
Description: partial 16S ribosomal RNA
Rfam family: Bacterial small subunit ribosomal RNA
Source: RNAcentral